Molecule: long non-coding RNA, 812 nt
Organism: Bombus huntii
Lineage: Eukaryota; Metazoa; Arthropoda; Insecta; Hymenoptera; Apidae
Exons: 3
Source: RefSeq, a predicted model, not a curated record
AUUAUAUUUUCUAUCCAACUGCGUUUUUCCAUUGAUACACAAUUACUGAGAAAAAUAUGGCAGAUCAGUGAGUAACCGUGAUUUCUUGGUUUUUUAAUAACUGGAGCAUGAAGAUUUGAAAAUUGCAACAGGGUUAAGAAGGGGCAGCAAGUAUAAUAAAUAUAAAUAUCAAAGUAACCAGACCUGCGAUUCGUUUCAAUCUCUAAGAACCCGAAGAACGUAGGUGAUUGUGCUAAUAACUCGUUCGACAAUUUCGUUCGAAUAAACAGUUUCUGCAAGACAUAAAUAAAAAGGUACGAGUAUUAUAUUCCUCGACUAUGGUGAGAUAGCCGAGUGAUAAUAAAUGGGUUUAAAAGUAGCUGCCUAAUUACUUCCUCGGACACCGCACGAACUCGCGAUGCAACCGUUGAUAUCGCUACGUACUUUUUCCUUUUUCCUGAGCCCCGCGCCGGCUACCGGUUUUACAGCGACCGUUGAAUUUAACUGUCUAUUAAUUAAUGCGGGCCGAUUAAUUUCCGUCACGGCGUAAAAACGCAGUUCCAUGGAAAAUUAUGAUGGUGCAAGGUCUCGCCUCCGCGCCAUUUCCCUACGAUUCGUAUGUCAUCGAACCAUCGUUCUACAGAUCCAUGUGAAAAAUACCGACAUGUUGCGGGUAUCUCGUUUGGGGAAACUAGAAAAUGAGAGUGAAAUAAAAUUGUUUACAAGCUGAGAAAUAAGCCUCCAAGGGACGUGUUUGCACAUGAACGUUGUCAUCGUUUUGAUGUCUGCAAUUCACCCUGUACAUAAAUAUCCAUCAAAUAUUUUUCCACAUC